This 88-nucleotide non-coding RNA is filed under the name unclassified sequences. The record is from RNAcentral.
UAAAAACUGCCACCGGGUAGGAAUGCAUUGAGCAUUCGUUUACACAUCGUUAGGUCUAAGUAGAUGUGUAUGCGGAUGCUUAUUUUUU